GACCCCACUGCUAUCGGGAUGGGACUAAGACAUGCUAGUCGAGCGCCUCCAAGCACGGUGGAGGAGCGGCGCACAGCUCAGUAACACGUGGCUAACCUGCCCUUGGGAUCGGAACACCCCCGGGAAACUGGGGCUAAAUUCCGGAUGGGUGGAGAUUCCUGGAAUGGGUCUUCGCUGAAAGGACGCUUAGACCAUGCUUCUAGGCGUUGCCCAAGGAUGGGGCCGCGGCCGAUCAGGUUGUUGGUGAGGUAACGGCUCACCAAGCCUUUAACCGGUACGGGCCGUGGGAGCGGGAGCCCGGAGAUGGGCACUGAGUCAAGGGCCCAGGCCCUACGGGGCGCAGCAGUCGCGAAAACUCCGCAAUACGCGAAGGCGUGACGGGGUCAUCCCGAGUGCCGUCCGCUGAGGAUGGCUUUUCCCCAGUGUAUACAGCUGGGGGAAUAAGGAGAGGGCAAGUCUGGUGUCAGCCGCCGCGGUAAUACCAGCUCUCCGAGUGGUGGGGAUGUUUAUUGGGCCUAAAGCAUCCGUAGCCGGCUGGACAAGUUCCCUGUUAAAUCCAGCGAUCUAAUCGUUGGACUGCGGGGGAUACUGUCCGGCUAGGGGGCGGGAGAGGCUGACGGUAUUCUCGAGGUAGGGGUGAAAUCCUAUAAUCCCGGGAAGACCACCAGUGGCGAAGGCUGUCGGCUAGAACGCGCCCGACGGUGAGGGAUGAAAGCUGGGGGAGCGAACCGGAUUAGAUACCCGGGUAGUCCCAGCUGUAAACGAUGCAGGCUAGGUGUUAGGGCGGCUACGUGCCGCUCUAGUGCCGCAGGGAAGCUGUUAAGCCUGCCGCCUGGGGAGUACGGCCGCAAGGCCGAAACUUAAAGGAAUUGGCGGGGGAGCACCACAAGGGGUGAAGCUUGCGGUUUAAUUGGAGUCAACGCCGGGA
Molecule: ribosomal RNA, 928 nt
Filed under: uncultured Thermoprotei archaeon
Lineage: Archaea; Thermoproteati; Thermoproteota; Thermoprotei
Description: bacterial SSU rRNA
Rfam family: Archaeal small subunit ribosomal RNA
Source: RNAcentral